This 300-nucleotide signal recognition particle RNA is filed under the name Caenorhabditis remanei. RNAcentral describes it as "Metazoan signal recognition particle RNA". It matches the Rfam family "Metazoan signal recognition particle RNA". Rfam says of the family: The signal recognition particle (SRP) is a universally conserved ribonucleoprotein. It is involved in the co-translational targeting of proteins to membranes. Lineage: Eukaryota; Metazoa; Nematoda; Chromadorea; Rhabditida; Rhabditidae. The record is from Rfam by way of RNAcentral.
ACCGGGCGUCGUGGCGGGCGCCUGUGAGCCAGCUUCUUGGCGGUAGACGAGUGUGGAUGGAGUGAAAGGAGGAGUCCUGUGUAUAUCGUUGUCACCGACGACCGAGCGUCCGUUGCCAAGCGCUGCGUUCACUAGGGGUCAUCCUUCGGAAGAGGGGCGGUCCCGGGUGCAUAAGGAGCGGUGGAUGGUUCAGGACCGAAAGGUAGCAGACAAAAGCUGCCGCGCGGUGCAGUGGCCGGAUAGCGCUUGCGAGGUGACACGUGUACACAGCCUCCUUGAUACCUUCAGACCACUUGUCAU